This 483-nucleotide ribosomal RNA is filed under the name uncultured bacterium. Its description in RNAcentral is "partial 16S ribosomal RNA". It matches the Rfam family "Bacterial small subunit ribosomal RNA", at positions 28 to 523 of the family's 1533-position model. The record is from RNAcentral.
AAUGAACGUUGGCGGCGUGGAUUAGGCAUGCAAGUCGUACGGUGGUUUCCUUUCGGGGAGGCCAUAGUGGCGAAAGGGAGAGUAACGCGUGGUUACAUGCCCUCGAGACCGGGAUAGCGGCGGGAAACUGCCGGUAAUACCGGAUAAUAUCUUUGGAUCAAAGGUGUGAUUCCGCUCGAGGAUUGGACCGCUUUCUAUUAGCUUGUUGGCGGGGUAAUGGCCCACCCAGGCGACGAUGGAUCCCUGGUGUGAGAGCAUGGCCCGGCUCACUGGGGCUGAGACACUGCCAGACACCUACGGGUGGCUGCAGUCGAGAAUCUUCGGCAAUGGGGGCAACCCUGACCUGGCGGCGCCGCGUGCGGGACGAAGGCCUUCGGGUUGUAAACCGCUGUCAGUUGGGAGGAAAUGCUGGGGGGUUCUCCCCUCAGUUUGACCGAUCUUCAGAGGAAGGACGGGCUAAGUUCGUGCCAGCAGCCGCAGUAA